AACUGCGAGUGAAGCGGGAAAAGCUCAAAUUUAAAAUCUGGUGGUCUCUGGCCAUCCGAGUUGUAAUCUAGAGAAGUGUUACCCGCGUCGGACCGUGUAUAAGUCUCCUGGAAUGGAGCGUCAUAGAGGGUGAGAAUCCCGUCUUUGACACGGACUACCGAGGCUUUGUGGUAUGCUCUCAAAGAGUCGAGUUGUUUGGGAAUGCAGCUCAAAAUGGGUGGUAAAUUCCAUCUAAAGCUAAAUAUUGGCGAGAGACCGAUAGCGAACAAGUACCGUGAGGGAAAGAUGAAAAGAACUUUGGAAAGAGAGUUAAACAGUACGUGAAAUUGCUGAAAGGGAAACGCUUGAAGUCAGUCGCGUUGGCCGGGAAUCAGCCUUGCUUUUGCUUGGUGUACUUUCUGGUUGACGGGCCAGCAUCAGUUUUGACCGGUGGAAAAAGUUCAGGGGAAUGUGGCAUCUUCGGAUGUGUUAUAGCCCUUGUUCGUAUACAUCGGUUGGGACUGAGGAACUCAGCACGCCGCAAGGCCGGGUCUUUGACCACGUUCGUGCUUAGGAUGCUGGCAUAAUGGCUUUAAUCGACCCGUCUUGAAACACGGACCAAGGAGUCUAACAUGCCUGCGAGUGUUUGGGUGGAAAACCCGAGCGCGUAAUGAAAGUGAAAGUUGAGAUCCCUGUCAUGGGGAGCAUCGACGCCCGGACCUGACGUUUUCUGACGGCCCUGCGGUAGAGCAUGUAUGUUGGGACCCGAAAGAUGGUGAACUAUGCCUGAAUAGGGUGAAGCCAGAGGAAACUCUGGUGGAGGCUCGUAGCGAUUCUGACGUGCAAAUCGAUCGUCAAAUUUGGGUAUAGG
Molecule: ribosomal RNA, 850 nt
Filed under: Candolleomyces bivelatus
Lineage: Eukaryota; Fungi; Basidiomycota; Agaricomycetes; Agaricales; Psathyrellaceae
Description: Psathyrella bivelata partial large subunit ribosomal RNA
Rfam family: Eukaryotic large subunit ribosomal RNA
Source: RNAcentral